Molecule: ribosomal RNA, 499 nt
Filed under: uncultured bacterium
Lineage: Bacteria
Description: bacterial SSU rRNA
Rfam family: Bacterial small subunit ribosomal RNA
Source: RNAcentral
AACGAACGCUGGCGGCACGCCUAACACAUGCAAGUCGAACGAGACCUUCGGGUCUAGUGGCGCACGGGUGCGUAACGCGUGGGAGUCUGCCCUCAGGUACGGAAUAACUCAGGGAAACUUGAGCUAAUACCGUAUAAUGACUUCGGUCCAAAGAUUUAUCGCCUGGGGAUGAGCCCGCGUCGGAUUAGCUAGUUGGUGAGGUAAAGGCUCACCAAGGCGACGAUCCGUAGCUGGUCUGAGAGGAUGAUCAGCCACACUGGGACUGAGACACGGCCCAGACUCCUACGGGAGGCAGCAGUGGGGAAUAUUGGACAAUGGGCGCAAGCCUGAUCCAGCAAUGCCGCGUGAGUGAUGAAGGCCUUAGGGUUGUAAAGCUCUUUUACCCGGGAAGAUAAUGACUGUACCGGGAGAAUAAGCCCCGGCUAACUCCGUGCCAGCAGCCGCGGUAAUACGGAGGGGGCUAGCGUUGUUCGGAAUUACUGGGCGUAAAGCGCACGUA